Non-coding RNA from Aegilops tauschii subsp. strangulata, 3592 nucleotides. The record is from RefSeq and is a predicted model, not a curated record. NCBI's taxonomy places the organism in Eukaryota, Viridiplantae, Streptophyta, Magnoliopsida, Poales, Poaceae.
CCUCCGCCCGAGCCAUCGUCUCCCCCGCUCCCCCCGAGCCACACGCACGCCCAUUCCCCUCCCCUCCAAACCUAGCCGCCCCGCUCCCCUCCCUCUCCACGGCGCCGCCGCCUCCUCCCCUUCUGCCCUGCUCUCCACCGCGCCGCCUCUUCCUCCCCUUCACUAUUCUCUCCAGCGACGGCAAAGAUCUGGCGGCAAAGGGAGAGACGACGAGGGCGCUCGAUCCGAUCUGCUGAAGAGAAAAGAUGAGAGGGAGAGAGAUCACCGGAAGGAGUGCCGCCGGCUCGUCGUCUUUCAUACCUACACACGCAACUGCCGGCUGCAGGGGUGUUGAGAGGAGUUAGAGGUCGUGCGCCGGCCGGAGCAGCAGGAGCAAGGAUAUGGCCGCCUCUCUUCUCUGCCACGGUUCCCUCCUCUUCCUUCAGCUCUCGAGAUGUCGACCUGCAGGUUUAGGCAAACCAUUGUUUGACAACAAAUAUGCGGAGGCGUUUUUAUGGAUGUGCAUUUCACCUGAAUCUGGAGAGCUAUUCAAUCUGUCGCGGACAUUUUUGGUGGAAUUCAGUGCUUCAGCAGCUUGGGAGCAAGUAGAAAUACCUGAUUUGAUGCUCAUGCUUCCAAAAUUUUCACAUUUCGCGAGAGCUAGGCGUACUUCUUGAUGACCUUGCCGUCUCCAACCCAUCCGAUUAUUAUGGAUUUUCUGAAGGUGGUGGUGGGGGUUGCACGGCAUGUUCCAUCUGGUUUCAGGAGUGUGUGCUGCACCUGAAAAAAUUUCUCGGGUUGUCUCUCUUCGUAUUUCCACCUUAGUUGUGAUAUUUUAUUUAUUGCUAAUCAUUUGAGUUAGUGUACAAUCAUAUAUUUGUCAUCCAUGGCUCCUUAGAGAGCUGGACAUGCUUGGUUGGAGUCGUCGUCGUCCUGGUUGGGGAGAUGAGCAUGCUUAUGCUUAUAUUACAAAGAUUAGUGUGUAGUCCUUCUAUGCCUUCUAAUUAGAUAGUUUGGCUUGAUUUUAGAUGCUUACAAUCUCUUGUCAUAGAAUUUUAUAAUUGCUUCUCAUGGAAAGCAGCCCUCUCCCAAGCUGACGGACUUGGUUUGUUUUUCAAUGUAGGCAUGAGGUCUCCGAGUCGUUUAAAUCUGAACGCAACACCAAGGCUGCUAGCCUGAGCAUUGCCGAACAAUACAUCAAAGCAUAGCUAAACUUGAUAAAAGCAAACAUGGAAGCCCUCCCUAAUUCAUCAAUUUACAAAGAUCAUAGCAGCAUGGCCUCGAUCUGGAGAAGGGGAGCAGCCACCGGCCGAUUCCAGCCCACUCCGGCGGUCCCAGCGGCCAUCCAGCACCUUCCUGUGCUCUCUACCAUCUCCAUUGCGCUAACUCGACCUGCAGGUCCUCAACAUCAUCCGCAACUAGCCCUAGCCGCUCGGACUGCUGGUAUGCGGUGUCACCAUGGACGCCGGCGCGGCGCCUGCACCUCUGACUGUUUCCUCCGCGUUGCCUAUGGGGCAUCCACCUCCUUGUACGCCCCUCUCACCCAGGCGCACCUCUUGGGGUCGUUGGCGCUUGUGAUUUCCCCGUGCGAGAUGGUGGCAACAGAGGGACUCUUUGGUGCCGGAGAGCUCGGGAUUCAUCACCCCUAACUGAAUCAACCCUGCUAUCACAGCCUCUGCAUGUUUAUGGCCUCUCAGCUUCGUGCUUAUGGUGCGGCUGCGUGGAAGCCGACGACAAGUACGGCCGCUCUCUACUUGCCUCUAAUAUGUAUGUCUUAACUCCCUCGAGAAAAGGAGUCUUUGCAAGAUGGCGGUGAUGCAGACCAGGAACGCAUCGGACAUGGACGCUCUGCGGAAACUCGGCUCUGCCAGCGCCACCUCGGUGAGGAGGAAGACGCUCUGCGACAUCACCAACCUGAGGCGGCCGCUGGCGGCGGCAGGACGGGUUGAGGUACGCGGACGGCAUGGAUGGGAUCACUUGGUUGGUCAAGGCAAGAUUUGCUGACCCGACUCCACCGCCGUCUCUUUCUUGGUUAUGACUAUGAUGUGUUGCGGUCGCUAGCGCUGCUCUUUUUUUCUUGAAUCUAUGUGUGUGUAAAUGCAAGAGAAUUCGGAUCUUGUGAAGCUCCUGGAGGAGAGAGUAUUUUCCUUCAUCGAUUGUUCUCUUUUGUCUAGGAUGGAUAGGGCUUCUUGAUGUGUGGUUGUUCUGGUGUUUGACUCUAUUUGGAUUGAUUUGCAUAGUAUACAUCACGGCUCCAUAGUAGACAUCCAUGUUUAAAACUAAGAUCAGAUAUUUGAAUUGUCAGACUCUUUUGCUCAUUGUCAGACCAUGACUACGGCUUCCUAUUAAAGUUGUGUGGAAUGCUACUAAAAAGUGGACAAAAUUAUGCUUCAAAUGUAUUCUUUAUUCUCCUAGCCCCUUCAAGGCUUCUGGCUAAUGUUCGCCGAUGUGCUCCUGAAAGUUGCAAGAUGGCACUAUAUGGGGACAACCAUCAGUCAUCGCUCAGUCUCAAGAUCGCCAUGUACCUGAGCUGUUCUGCUGAAUAAUAUCUUGCAUAGUUUAUAUUGUCCUGUUUCCAUCUACAUAUAGGAAUACAUAUGUGGCAAGCACAUCCAGUCCUGAUACACUUGCAAUUUCUUACUAAUGGCCUGUGAAGUUAUGUCCUAUAAUAAUCAGUCUCACUAUAUUAAGACACAUGCAUCACUGCUAAACAUCCCAACUGAAACCACAGGCAGAUAAGUCAGCUUAAUUAUUCUACUACUUUCUAGAUGACAACAGUUAAACAAGAGGAGGCAGACACAGCCAGUGAUAUCAACGGUGGCCAAAUUACCCAUGCACAACAAGCCAUUCGAGUAUAUUCAUCGCCCACGCAAAGCAAGCUCAAUCCAAAAGUUCAAAGGCAAGAAAAUCCACUGGAAAGUACAUUCUCCGUGGUAAGCUUGGCAUCCACCACUUAGAUGAGUUUAGUCACCACAUUGUGUGUGGCAACAUAGUUAAGCUCUACAACCAUAAUGUUCAUAGACUGCGAAAGAUAAUCCACAGUACCACCACGCCUGAUCGCUACUAUGUGUGCCACAUGACAAAAACAUUUGCAACAGACGGCAAAAGAAUGUACUUUAGGGUUUCCUUUUCUACGGGUUCCCUUUUCCCACACAUGAAUGCUGAACAUGGUGAACUCUACUGGAGACGGAACUAUCGCUGUUACAGCCCGCUUUAUCAAGGGUGUUGACAAAAGGGCCACCAUCACUAGAGGCUGGAGCCACUUCUUCCGUCAGGCACAGAUGAACAAAGGGCAAGCAUAUGCUUUCGCCUUCAAAAGCACUUCCAAAGGACUGCGCCUGAUCGUCUACUAAAUAUAAGCAAGUUGCAAGAGCCCUUUGUUAUAUAACUUAGCAUUAGUAUAGAUGCCUACCAAGAAUUCUAUGUUUAUCAUCCUUUUGAAUCUUAUGUAAUCCCCUAAGACCAUCCUGUGCAUUUAACUGUCGGUUAUUUGCUGCUUAGACUGCUGUGUGGUAUGCUUCUGAAAUAGCCAUCAUAUAUUUAUCAUUGAUCCAUACUUGUUUCCAUAUGUUUCAUUUUGUUUUUACAUAUUUUAAUGCACAUUCUUUCAAUA